This 450-nucleotide ribosomal RNA is filed under the name uncultured bacterium. RNAcentral's name for it is "partial 16S ribosomal RNA". It matches the Rfam family "Bacterial small subunit ribosomal RNA", at positions 354 to 796 of the family's 1533-position model. The record is from RNAcentral.
GUGGGGAAUAUUGGACAAUGGGCGCAAGCCUGAUCCAGCCAUGCCGCGUGUGUGAAGAAGGCCUUCGGGUUGUAAAGCACUUUUGUCCGGGAAGAAAUCUUCCAGGUUAAUACCCUGGGAGGCUGACGGUACCGGAAGAAUAAGCUCCGGCUAACUUCGUGCCAGCAGCCGCGGUAAUACGAAGGGUGCAAGCGUUACUCGGAAUUACUGGGCGUAAAGCGUGCGUAGGUGGUUCGUUAAGUCUGCCGUGAAAGCCCCGGGCUCAACCUGGGAAUGGCGGUGGAUACUGGCGGGCUAGAGUGCGGUAGAGGGUGGUGGAAUUCCCGGUGUAGCAGUGAAAUGCGUAGAGAUCGGGAGGAACAUCUGUGGCGAAGGCGGCCACCUGGACCAGCACUGACACUGAGGCACGAAAGCGUGGGGAGCAAACAGGAUUAGAUACCCGGGUAGUCC